Molecule: ribosomal RNA, 465 nt
Filed under: uncultured bacterium
Lineage: Bacteria
Description: partial 16S ribosomal RNA
Rfam family: Bacterial small subunit ribosomal RNA
Source: RNAcentral
CCUACGGGAUGCAGCAGUGGGGAAUAUUGCGCAAUGGGCGAAAGCCUGACGCAGCGACGCCGCGUGAGGGAUGAAGGUCUUCGGAUUGUAAACCUCUGUCAGCAGGGAAGAACGGUCACUGUGCUAAUCAGCAGUGAAUUGACGGUACCUGCAAAGCAAGCACCGGCUAACUCCGUGCCCGCAGCCGCGGUAAUACGGCGGGUGCGAGCGUUAAUCGGAAUUACUGGGCGUGAAGCGCUCGUAGGCGGUAUGUCACGUCAAGGGUGAAAUCCCCGCGCUCAACGUGGGAACUGCCUUUGAAACUGGCAAACUGGAGAGUGUGAGAGGAUAGUGGAAGUCGAGGUGUAGAGGUGAAAUCCGUAGAUAUUUGGAGGAACAUCAGUGGCGAAGGCGACUAUCUGGCACAUAACUGACGCUGAGGAGCGAAAGCGUGGGUAGCAAACAGGAUUAGAUACCCUUGUAGUC